RNAcentral lists this long non-coding RNA (4987 nucleotides) under Sus scrofa (pig). RNAcentral's name for it is "lncRNA (ENSSSCG00000054242.1)". The record is from RNAcentral. Lineage: Eukaryota; Metazoa; Chordata; Mammalia; Artiodactyla; Suidae.
GAUCAGCCUACAUGGCUAGGAAUACCUCUGAAUGCGCAAAACUUGUUUACAGCUAGAGAGGACUAUACCAAAAUAGCGGAGAUCCUUCUCCUCCUAUAGAGAGGACUAUACCAAAAUAGUUUAUCUAGCUUCACCACUUAGAAUUAUGCCAUGGUUGGAAAAUUAUUAAAAUCUUUUGGUCACAAUUUUCCCAUUUUUAGUAUGAGAAUAGUCCUUCUUAACUAACAGGGUAUGUAUUCCUGGUUCAUCAGGCAGGAAAAGGAGAAAAGGUUCUCAGAAGGGUAAAGAACAUCCUCUGCAUGUGUGUGAUUAGCCAGUUAUACUAUAUAUCAUAAAUAAAAUUGGAAAAAUGACUGCUACAUCCUACCCUACUUUUUAAACACUCCUGCCUCACCUGUCAUCUUUGACUUUCAAUAUUCCUUUGGGAUUUUAGAAAAAGGAAGUGAUGGAGUGAUGGGAAAGAGGUGGAAAAUUAAGAGGAGUGGCUUGAUAUGUUCUUGGAUAAUCUACCCAAUAGUGUUCAGUUUCCUUAUCCCCUGCAAAAUAAUAGAGAUGAAACAGAAGCUGUUGAUUCAAACUUUCUGUAUCCAUAAUAAUGAACCAUCUCCCACCUACAUGCUCACAAAUUUCCAAAGGCAAGAGACUCUAUGGAGUCCUCAUAAAUGUCUCCCUUCCUUUUAUUGGUUUCAUUUGAACUGCAGGAAAAGCAUAACAUUAAAAACUUUUGCUAUUUGAUAUAGCAUACCUACAUGUGCUGAACACAGAGCCAUGCACCUCCCGUGGACUGUCUUAUUUAAUCUUUACAACAGCCUGAGAUACAAAUACUCCUUUCCCUGGUUUAUACAUUAAGAAAGAGGAACAGAGAACUUAAGUAACUUCUCCAAAUUUAUUCACCUGGUAAGUUAUAAAGUCAGUGUUUGAACCCAGGCAGUCAGACUCAGGAGACGUACUCUUAAACCUUAUUCAAUACUGGCCCCUUGUCUACUAUUCAUUCUAUGAAUAUUUAAUAUGUGUAUAAUAUACAAGACAUUCUUGUGGAUUGUUUUACGUCUUGCAGCGUUUCAUAGCAUUUAAUACACCUGCAGUUCAUUAUUUUAUUUUGAUACUCAAUAUUAGGAUCUACUAGGUAGGCCAGCUGGAGAGUACAACUUCAUAUGUGUAAAAACUAAAGCGCGAAGGAUUUGAAUUGAUCAGUGUCUCAAAAUUAAGAAGCAACAAAUCUCAAACCUAAAUCUUUUGACCCUAGUCUACAGUUCUUUUCAGACCAGUAAAAUGGAUAAUGAUACAUCUAUCAUCAUAACACAUGAAGGGAAAAGUAAAUAUGAUCACAAAGUGAUAUGCUGAAUUAAUUAAAGACUGAAUGCUAGAGCUAGGUUGUUCACUUGAAAAUCUUGAGCAGAUUUUACAGUAGUCUUUUUUAUUGCUAAUAAUCUUGAGUAGAUUGUAAACUAUCCUAACAUCUCAUUUGGUUUGGGUAAAGUAAGAAGCUGGCAGUUGUAAGUAAUUAUAAAAAUUAGAAUAACAGAAGUUUGUGUACAGUAGAGACUGUUAAAGUUACUGUCUUCUUAUGGCUAAUUAUACAGUUAUAGGAACAACAUGAAGCAUUCUGGUGCUUCUUUUUCCAAAGAUAGACGUAUCUAUCACAUACACAGCUGAUUAUAUAUAGUGAUGAGAAAUCUGUUGUUUCCUACCAACAUCAUUAAGGAUAAAUUUUCUUGUCUCUUACCAUUUGCUUCUAUUAAACUUAAUCCUUUUGGGGCUAUUAGAGAGGACUAUACCAAAAUAGAAGAAAUCCUUCUCCUCCUACAGAGAGGACUAUACCAAAAUAGUUUAUCUAGUUUCACCACUUAGAAUUAUGUCAUGGUUGGAAAAUUAUUUAAAAUCUUUUGGCCACAAUUUUCCCAUUUUUAGCAUGAGAAUAGUCGUUCUUAACUAACAGGGUAUGUAAAAUAUACUGCCUAGUAUAUAAUACUCAAUAGUACAUAUCAUUAUUAUUAUCACUGUAUAUAUAUAUAUAUAUGUAUAUAUAUAUGCACACACACAGACACAGUUCGUGCUCAAUAUAUAAUAACUCAUUUAUUUAUAAUAAUCUAUUCUGGAAUUCAAACCACUAUCAUUUUGCAGAAGGUAAAGUUUGUUGUUAAAGCCGUAUUUCGCUUUCUUUUUAUUAUUUUUUAAAUUCAUACUGAGGUAUAAUUGGUUUACAGUAUAAUUUAAGUUUUAGAUAUACAACAUGGUGUUUGACAAUUUUUAAAGGUUAUACUCUGCUUAUAGCUAUUAUAAAAUAUUAGCUCAAUUCCCUGUGCUGUUCAAUAUAUCCUUGUAUCUUAUUUAUUUUAUACAUAGUAGUUUGCAUCUCUCAAUCCCCUCCCCAUAGCUUGCCUCUUCUCCCUUCCCUCUCCCCACUGGUAACCACUAGUUUAUUCUCUGUAUCUGUGAGUGUGUUUCUCGUUAUAUUCACCAAUUUGUUUUAUUAUUUAGAUUCCACAUAUAAGUAAUAUCAUAUAGUAUUUGUAUUUCUCUAACUUAUUUCACUAAAUAUGAUAUCCUCUAAGUCCAUCCAUGUAGUUGCAAAUGGCAAACUUCAUUUUUUUUAAUCACUAGGUGGUAAUCCACUGUGUGGUGUGUGUGUGUGUGUGUACACCACAUCAUCUUCAUUCAUUCAUCUGUUGUUGAUGGAUACUUAGGUUGCUUACAUAUCUUGGCUACUGUAAAUAAUGCUGCUGUGAAUACUGGGGUGCAUGUAUCUUUUCAAAUUAAUGUUUUCUUUUUCUUUGUAUAUAUGCCCAAGAGUGGAAUUACUGGGUCUUAUAGCAGCUCUGUUUUCAGUUUUUUGAGGAACCCAUAGUUCACUUUCUUAUAUUCCUUUUCCUUCUGCAGAGCACUUCUCCCAAGCUAGUAAUAUAAAAUAGUAAUGUGUGAUAAAAAAACAUAGAUGUGGAACCAGACAUACCUGAGUAUGAAACUUGUCCUUGCUCUGAGUUGCUCUAUGUAUAUGAGUGGCACAUUUAACUGCUCUGAAUCUCAGUUUUCUCACCUGAAGUCAAAAUAACAAUGAUGGCACUUUAUGACUAUUGUGAAAAUUAAAUUAAAUGCAAAAAAAUGUAGCGCAGUGUAUGGCUUUCAAUAGAUUUUUGGCAUAGAUUUGGUCACUUUUUCUUUUGACCUUCUUGGAUCCUUAGAUAUAUUGUACUAAAUUCCUUUGUUUUCCUAACCAAAUCAUUUCAUAGGUCAUUUAAUCAUAGCAAUGUAUAAAUCGCUAAGUUACAUCCCCAUCUCCACCACUCCCCUGCCCCAGGUAGAGCCACCUAUUGUCUGAGUCAGGAAGAAAAUGAAAGAGGUGGAGCCAGGCUUUGGUACCCGCCCCCCACUUAGACUCUGUACUCCAGCCAUAUUAGACAAGUCACUAUUCACCCCUCUUUUAAUUCACUGAACCCCUGGAUUAUAUUAUUCCCUCUUCUAAGAAUAUUGCCUCAUUUUUAUCUUCCUAGUGAUUUCCUUUUUCUUUUGUUCCACUAAGACCCUUCUUAUAUGGUACAUCCUGUGAGAAGGCAUUACCAAUUACACACGCACACACACACACCGCUCAAUGUUACAGCUACCUGAACUUAACCACAUUUGAGGGUAAUCAUUCUAAAAUGCAUGACUUAACCAGAAAAUUCCAAGCACCAUUAAUGUCAUUUAGCCUUUUCUUCGUGAUCCAGGACAGUCAUUAUGGACCAGGUUUUUUGGACAGCAUGGUGAAAGGCUGUCAGCCAUCACCUCUGUUCAUAUUUUACCUGCUUCAGACAGCUUCUGACCUUUUCUGGUUUGCUUCUACUAAUCUAUCAGAGGCUGAGAAGCCAGAUAACUAAGCUUUAAAAGAAUUGCAUAUUUAAAAAGACAAUAAAGUUCCUCAUGAAUCCCUAAGAGCCUUAAUGCAGUGCUUUGGGGCAGAUAUUUCAGGCUUCUCUGAGGCCUUUAUCAGAGACUUCUGACAAACUGGACCUUCUGGAUAAGUGGGGAGUUACUGUAUUUUAAUCUAUUAAUGUCUGCUUUAAGGAAACAUAGAAUAAAAAAAUGUAGAUAUAAACAGAAUUUAAAUUAGAAAGCAAGCACAAACCUACCUAAGCUAUUUAAAAUAUAAUUUAAUAUAAAAACAUUUGGUUUAUAACCAGCUUUUCCAUUACGGAGUUGAGAAGUAAAGGGCCCAGCAGAUAAGAAUAAUGAACAAAUUGCUAGAUUAUCCUCUGCUUACACUUCAAAUAAACCAGCUAAUUGUUUAUUUAUUUGCCUAGCAGUUGCUGCCUGAUUAUAGGCCAUUAGUGACCAUUAAUAAAUGAAAUUGCGUUUUCAUUUCCCAAAGCAAUUUUGAAUUCCAUAAAUCUUGCAUUUCUCAUUAAAGAUGUUCAGUUUUACACAUGCUUGAUCAACAAAUAUGAUCAAGGCCUACAGUGCAACCUUAAAAGUAACAUGGGACUUUUAGAACAAAAGCAACAGAAAGAUAAUUCAUGAGGUUUCUUACUGUUUCCCUCUGAUGGGGAUAUUUGUCUUUAAAUGUAUAUUACUGGAAAACCUGAAAAUUAAAAAUGUUAAUAUAUAUUUGCUCUUCACUACUAUUAUGAAUAGUAGUAGUAUUUUGUAUGCAUAUGAGCACUUUAUCUAUGUAAAAUGUUUUAAUAUGUAUCAUACUUGAUGUAAUUGGAUAUUUCCCACAUUUCAUAAAAAGGAAAAUUGAGGCUUAAAGUAUUAUUAUUUUUGGAGUUCCCAUCAUGGCUCAGUGGUUAACGCAUCUGACUAAGAACCAGGAGGUUGUGGGCUCAAUCCCUGGCCUUGCUCAGUGGGUGAAGGAUCUGGCGUUGCCAUGAGCUGUGGUGUAGGUCGCAGACUCGGCUCGGAUCCCACGUUUCUGUGGCUGUGGUGUAGGCCAGCGGCUACAGCUCCAAUUAGAUCCCUAGCUUGGGAACCUCCAUAUGCCGCUUGAGUGGCCCUAGAAAAGGCAAAAAAG